GGGCGGUUAGCUCAGCAGGUUUAGAGCGUCUGCCUUACAAGCAGAAGGCCGGGGGUUCGAAUCCCUCACCGCCCA
This 75-nucleotide transfer RNA is filed under the name Bacteroidota bacterium. Its description in RNAcentral is "tRNA-Val". It matches the Rfam family "tRNA". From Rfam's summary of the family: Transfer RNA (tRNA) molecules are approximately 80 nucleotides in length. Their secondary structure includes four short double-helical elements and three loops (D, anti-codon, and T loops). Lineage: Bacteria; Pseudomonadati; Bacteroidota. The record is from RNAcentral.